CUUUUUUUGCCGGUUUGAGGACGACAGGAUCAGCCAAAACACUAAGGGAUUUCAGAUGGCGGUUUUAGGAGCUUUGAUCAUAUUCUUGUACCUGACUGUUUGUGAAGCCUCACACAAUGUAGAAUGUGAGGAUAAGAACUUGAAACACAAAAUCUGUUCCGAUGCCUCCAGCUGCAAUUGGAAUCCCGGAAAAGAAUUGAAGGAACAGAUGACAAGUGAUGAAUACAUAUGCUAUACAGAUAAUGGAAUGACGUGUACGGAGGACAAUACAUUGAAAAAGAAACAUUUGUGCUUAACAUAUGAAGAAUGUAACUUCACAUGCCCUGUCCGGAAAGAGG
Alosa alosa (allis shad) is the source of this 338-nucleotide long non-coding RNA. RefSeq lists it as uncharacterized. The transcript has 4 exons. The record is from RefSeq and is a predicted model, not a curated record. NCBI's taxonomy places the organism in Eukaryota, Metazoa, Chordata, Actinopteri, Clupeiformes, Clupeidae.